AACACAUAUUCAUUUCCAGAGGAGCAGGCAGAUACUUGGUCACUAUUAAGGCAGAGGCGGCACAAGGUGACUGUCAAGAUGAAAGAAAGAACUGCAUACAUGUGUACUCCACUGACUGGGACAAGAGGCUUUGAUUAUCUUUGACAACGUGGUAGAUCAAGAUGAUCCAGUAUACCACUAGCAGCCAAUCUAUGAGAUUCCAUAUGGGAUCCCAUCAAGUACAAGGUGAUGCUGCUUGACACAUGCACUGAGAGGGACCUGGCAGAGGCUAACGGCAUGGCUCUUGGUUUUUCUGAAAUGAUGAUGACCAAGUACACCUGUAGGAGGGUCUAGAGAAAGACAACCAUGUGUAAACAAACAUGAAAUGAGAAGGUCUGCAGAAAUUUAAUUCAGAAGUUACAAGGGGAAUUGAACCAAACGAUGGAGUAUCUAGCAGAACAGACACUUUCCUUGUGAAGAAGCCCACAUUACAACAAAGAUGCCGAUUUACAGAAAAACGUCAAGUACCCUGCAAAA
Strongylocentrotus purpuratus (purple sea urchin) is the source of this 516-nucleotide long non-coding RNA. RefSeq lists it as uncharacterized. The record is from RefSeq and is a predicted model, not a curated record. The transcript is spliced from 2 exons. Lineage: Eukaryota; Metazoa; Echinodermata; Echinoidea; Camarodonta; Strongylocentrotidae.